This 299-nucleotide long non-coding RNA is filed under the name Elaeis guineensis (African oil palm). Its description in RNAcentral is "long non-coding RNA (EGUI_LNC061597)". The record is from RNAcentral. Lineage: Eukaryota; Viridiplantae; Streptophyta; Magnoliopsida; Arecales; Arecaceae.
UGUUGUGAUGAAGUUCUUAAAACUAUGUUAGUGAACGAUAAAGAAAAGAUUUAUCGUAUAGUUCUUAAACAUAUUCAUGAUCAAAUGAUAUGUCAUUAUAGGAUGAUGACAUUUAUCGAGUGGAGGUUGUUGUGUAUCAUAUGGGUUGGUUGUCCUCUUAACCGAGUGUGGUGACUCUGGUAUGACAUACAGGUGAGAUGUAAGAGUAUAUCGUCACUGAAUAAGUGACUCAUCUUCUGAGCAUUCUACUGUCAAGAGCUGCUCGCAAAGCAUAUGGACAUAAGUACCCCUUCGACCUG